AGCGUAGACGGUGUGGCAAGUCUGAUGUGAAAGGCUGGGGCUCAACCCCGGGACUGCAUUGGAAACUGCCCGUCUUGAGUGCCGGAGAGGUAAGCGGAAUUCCUAGUGUAGCGGUGAAAUGCGUAGAUAUUGGGAGGAACACCAGUGGCGAAGGCGGCUUACUGGACGGUAACUGACGUUGAGGCUCGAAAGCGUGGGGAGCAAACA
RNAcentral lists this ribosomal RNA (207 nucleotides) under uncultured bacterium. RNAcentral describes it as "partial 16S ribosomal RNA". It matches the Rfam family "Bacterial small subunit ribosomal RNA", at positions 568 to 774 of the family's 1533-position model. The record is from RNAcentral.